Molecule: ribosomal RNA, 2902 nt
Filed under: Klebsiella pneumoniae
Lineage: Bacteria; Pseudomonadati; Pseudomonadota; Gammaproteobacteria; Enterobacterales; Enterobacteriaceae
Description: 23S ribosomal RNA
Rfam family: Bacterial large subunit ribosomal RNA
Source: RNAcentral
GGUUAAGCGACUAAGCGUACACGGUGGAUGCCCUGGCAGUCAGAGGCGAUGAAGGACGUGCUAAUCUGCGAAAAGCGUCGGUAAGGUGAUAUGAACCGUUAUAACCGGCGAUGUCCGAAUGGGGAAACCCAGUGCAAUUCGUUGCACUAUCGUUAACUGAAUACAUAGGUUAACGAGGCGAACCGGGGGAACUGAAACAUCUAAGUACCCCGAGGAAAAGAAAUCAACCGAGAUUCCCCCAGUAGCGGCGAGCGAACGGGGAGCAGCCCAGAGUCUGAAUCAGCUUGUGUGUUAGUGGAACGGUCUGGAAAGUCCGACGGUACAGGGUGAUAGUCCCGUACACCAAAAUGCACAGGUUGUGAACUCGAAGAGUAGGGCGGGACACGUGGUAUCCUGUCUGAAUAUGGGGGGACCAUCCUCCAAGGCUAAAUACUCCUGACUGACCGAUAGUGAACCAGUACCGUGAGGGAAAGGCGAAAAGAACCCCGGCGAGGGGAGUGAAAAAGAACCUGAAACCGUGUACGUACAAGCAGUGGGAGCACCUUCGGGUGUGACUGCGUACCUUUUGUAUAAUGGGUCAGCGACUUAUAUUCUGUAGCAAGGUUAACCGUAUAGGGGAGCCGCAGGGAAACCGAGUCUUAACUGGGCGUUAAGUUGCAGGGUAUAGACCCGAAACCCGGUGAUCUAGCCAUGGGCAGGUUGAAGGUUGGGUAACACUAACUGGAGGACCGAACCGACUAAUGUUGAAAAAUUAGCGGAUGACUUGUGGCUGGGGGUGAAAGGCCAAUCAAACCGGGAGAUAGCUGGUUCUCCCCGAAAGCUAUUUAGGUAGCGCCUCGUGAAUUCAUCUUCGGGGGUAGAGCACUGUUUCGGCUAGGGGGUCAUCCCGACUUACCAACCCGAUGCAAACUACGAAUACCGAAGAAUGUUAUCACGGGAGACACACGGCGGGUGCUAACGUCCGUCGUGAAGAGGGAAACAACCCAGACCGCCAGCUAAGGUCCCAAAGUCAUGGUUAAGUGGGAAACGAUGUGGGAAGGCACAGACAGCCAGGAUGUUGGCUUAGAAGCAGCCAUCAUUUAAAGAAAGCGUAAUAGCUCACUGGUCGAGUCGGCCUGCGCGGAAGAUGUAACGGGGCUAAACCAUGCACCGAAGCUGCGGCAGCGACACUAUGUGUUGUUGGGUAGGGGAGCGUUCUGUAAGCCUGCGAAGGUGUGCUGUGAGGCAUGCUGGAGGUAUCAGAAGUGCGAAUGCUGACAUAAGUAACGAUAAAGCGGGUGAAAAGCCCGCUCGCCGGAAGACCAAGGGUUCCUGUCCAACGUUAAUCGGGGCAGGGUGAGUCGACCCCUAAGGCGAGGCCGAAAGGCGUAGUCGAUGGGAAACAGGUUAAUAUUCCUGUACUUGGUGUUACUGCGAAGGGGGGACGGAGAAGGCUAUGUUAGCCGGGCGACGGUUGUCCCGGUUUAAGCAUGUAGGCUGAUUGUCCAGGCAAAUCCGGAUAAUCAAGGCUGAGGUGUGAUGACGAGGCACUACGGUGCUGAAGUAACAAAUGCCCUGCUUCCAGGAAAAGCCUCUAAGCAUCAGGUAACAUUAAAUCGUACCCCAAACCGACACAGGUGGUCAGGUAGAGAAUACCAAGGCGCUUGAGAGAACUCGGGUGAAGGAACUAGGCAAAAUGGUGCCGUAACUUCGGGAGAAGGCACGCUGGUGUGUAGGUGAAGCCCCUGCGGGUGGAGCUGAGACCAGUCGAAGAUACCAGCUGGCUGCAACUGUUUAUUAAAAACACAGCACUGUGCAAACACGAAAGUGGACGUAUACGGUGUGACGCCUGCCCGGUGCCGGAAGGUUAAUUGAUGGGGUUAUCCGUAAGGAGAAGCUCUUGAUCGAAGCCCCGGUAAACGGCGGCCGUAACUAUAACGGUCCUAAGGUAGCGAAAUUCCUUGUCGGGUAAGUUCCGACCUGCACGAAUGGCGUAAUGAUGGCCAGGCUGUCUCCACCCGAGACUCAGUGAAAUUGAACUCGCUGUGAAGAUGCAGUGUACCCGCGGCAAGACGGAAAGACCCCGUGAACCUUUACUAUAGCUUGACACUGAACAUUGAGCCUUGAUGUGUAGGAUAGGUGGGAGGCUUUGAAGCGUGGACGCCAGUCUGCGUGGAGCCAACCUUGAAAUACCACCCUUUAAUGUUUGAUGUUCUAACGUUGGCCCCUGACCGGGGUUGCGGACAGUGUCUGGUGGGUAGUUUGACUGGGGCGGUCUCCUCCCAAAGCGUAACGGAGGAGCACGAAGGUUAGCUAAUCCUGGUCGGACAUCAGGAGGUUAGUGCAAUGGCAUAAGCUAGCUUGACUGCGAGCGUGACGGCGCGAGCAGGUGCGAAAGCAGGUCAUAGUGAUCCGGUGGUUCUGAAUGGAAGGGCCAUCGCUCAACGGAUAAAAGGUACUCCGGGGAUAACAGGCUGAUACCGCCCAAGAGUUCAUAUCGACGGCGGUGUUUGGCACCUCGAUGUCGGCUCAUCACAUCCUGGGGCUGAAGUAGGUCCCAAGGGUAUGGCUGUUCGCCAUUUAAAGUGGUACGCGAGCUGGGUUUAGAACGUCGUGAGACAGUUCGGUCCCUAUCUGCCGUGGGCGCUGGAGAAUUGAGGGGGGCUGCUCCUAGUACGAGAGGACCGGAGUGGACGCAUCACUGGUGUUCGGGUUGUCAUGCCAAUGGCACUGCCCGGUAGCUAAAUGCGGAAGAGAUAAGUGCUGAAAGCAUCUAAGCACGAAACUUGCCCCGAGAUGAGUUCUCCCUGAGACUUUAAGUCUCCUGAAGGAACGUUGAAGACGACGACGUUGAUAGGCCGGGUGUGUAAGCGCAGCGAUGCGUUGAGCUAACCGGUACUAAUGAACCGUGAGGCUUAACCUU